UACGUAGGGUGCAAGCGUUUUCCGGAAUUAUUGGGCGUAAAGAGCUCGUAGGUGGCCUGUCGCGUCGGCUGUGAAAACUCGGGGCUCAACUCCGAGCUUGCAGUCGAUACGGGCAGGCUAGAGUUCGGCAGGGGAGACUGGAAUUCCUGGUGUAGCGGUGAAAUGCGCAGAUAUCAGGAGGAACACCGGUGGCGAAGGCGGCUCUCUAGUACGGUACUGACGCUGAGACGCGAAAGCGUGGGGAGCGAACAGG
This 253-nucleotide ribosomal RNA is filed under the name uncultured bacterium. RNAcentral's name for it is "partial 16S ribosomal RNA". It matches the Rfam family "Bacterial small subunit ribosomal RNA", at positions 524 to 776 of the family's 1533-position model. The record is from RNAcentral.